AUUGAACGCUGGCGGCAGGCCUAACACAUGCAAGUCGAGCGGAUGAAGGGAGCUUGCUCCUGGAUUCAGCGGCGGACGGGUGAGUAAUGGCUAGGAAUCUGCCUGGUAGUGGGGGAUAACGUCCGGAAACGGGCGCUAAUACCGCAUACGUCCUGAGGGAGAAAGUGGGGGAUCUUCGGACCUCACGCUAUCAGAUGAGCCUAGGUCGGAUUAGCUAGUUGGUGGGGUAAAGGCCUACCAAGGCGACGAUCCGUAACUGGUCUGAGAGGAUGAUCAGUCACACUGGAACUGAGACACGGUCCAGACUCCUACGGGAGACAGCAGUGGGGAAUAUUGGGCAAUGGGCGAAAGCCUGAUCCAGCCAUGCCGCGUGUGUGAAGAAGGUCUUCGGAUUGUAAAGCACUUUAAGUUGGGAGGAAGGGCAGUAAGUUAAUACCUUGCUGUUUUGACGUUACCAACAGAAUAAGCACCGGCUAACUUCGUG
This 484-nucleotide ribosomal RNA is filed under the name uncultured bacterium. RNAcentral's name for it is "partial 16S ribosomal RNA". It matches the Rfam family "Bacterial small subunit ribosomal RNA", at positions 30 to 507 of the family's 1533-position model. The record is from RNAcentral.